AUACGGAGGAUCCGAGCGUUAUCCGGAUUUAUUGGGUUUAAAGGGUGCGCAGGCGGGAGAUUAAGUCGGCGGUGAAAUUUUGCAGCUCAACUGUAAAAGUGCCUUCGAAACUUGUUUCCUUGAGUGUAGAUGGAGUAGGCGGAAUUUUUGGUGUAGCGGUGAAAUGCAUAGAUAUCACGAGGAACUCCGAUUGAGCAGGCAGCUUACUAAACUAGUACUGACGCUCAGGCACGAAGGCGUGGGGAUCAAACAGGAUUAGAUACCCUGGUAGUCCACGCAGUAAACGAUGAUUACUAGCUGUUUGCGAUACAAUGUAAGCGGCUGAGCGAAAGCGUUAAGUAAUCCACCUGGGGAGUACGUUCGCAAGAAUGAAACUCAAAGGAAUUGACGGGG
This 393-nucleotide ribosomal RNA is filed under the name uncultured bacterium. RNAcentral describes it as "partial 16S ribosomal RNA". It matches the Rfam family "Bacterial small subunit ribosomal RNA", at positions 523 to 918 of the family's 1533-position model. The record is from RNAcentral.